Long non-coding RNA from Zingiber officinale, 490 nucleotides. RefSeq lists it as uncharacterized. The transcript has 3 exons. NCBI's taxonomy places the organism in Eukaryota, Viridiplantae, Streptophyta, Magnoliopsida, Zingiberales, Zingiberaceae. The record is from RefSeq and is a predicted model, not a curated record.
UGCCGGCGGAGGUCUUCUUCUUCGGAGCCUCACCAAUGUUAGGUUCCCUUGGCCACUAGCGGCCGAUUCUCUUUGGCCAGCGGCCGAUCCUCUGUGCUCUUUCUCGCGAACGAGUGAUGCCACGAGAUUAGGGUUUCCAGCUCCGGCGAUCUUUCCCCGCCGGCAUCAGCAUCUAUUGAGCUUCGAUUCAGCCGCAGACCUUCUCUCUCGCGGACGGCCGACGACCUCUCGGUGGCUAGGGCACGGCGAGGAGCCGGAUCUUGCAUCCUCUUCAACCGUGUCGUUGCCGGCUUUGAAGGUAAGCAACCUAUUCCUUCUCGUCUCUUGGUUGUCGCCUAUCUUUGAGCAAAGUGGGGUUUCUAUGGAUUCGAAGUUCUAUUCCUGUGGAGUUUUUCUUUGGCUUCAGCAGUAGCUAUCCUUCCAGCAGCAAUCAUCCACGAUUGAGGAUCAACAGAGAGUGAAUUGUUGAUCUCUUCUCUUGAUCCGAUCG